GUGGGGAAUAUUGGACAAUGGGCGAAAGCCUGAUCCAGCAAUGCCGCGUGAGUGAUGAAGGCCUUAGGGUUGUAAAGCUCUUUUACCAGGGAUGAUAAUGACAGUACCUGGAGAAUAAGCUCCGGCUAACUCCGUGCCAGCAGCCGCGGUAAUACGGAGGGAGCUAGCGUUGUUCGGAAUUACUGGGCGUAAAGCGCACGUAGGCGGUUACUCAAGUCAGAGGUGAAAGCCCGGGGCUCAACCCCGGAACUGCCUUUGAAACUAGGUAGCUAGAAUCCUGGAGAGGUGAGUGGAAUUCCGAGUGUAGAGGUGAAAUUCGUAGAUAUUCGGAAGAACACCAGUGGCGAAGGCGGCUCACUGGACAGGUAUUGACGCUGAGGUGCGAAAGCGUGGGGAGCAAACAGGAUUAGAAACCCCAGUAGUCC
RNAcentral lists this ribosomal RNA (425 nucleotides) under uncultured bacterium. Its description in RNAcentral is "partial 16S ribosomal RNA". It matches the Rfam family "Bacterial small subunit ribosomal RNA", at positions 354 to 796 of the family's 1533-position model. The record is from RNAcentral.